AGAGUUUGAUCAUGGCUCAGGAUGAACGCUGGCGGCGUGCCUAAUACAUGCAAGUCGAACGGGGGUGCAGCGAUGUACCCCAGUGGCGACCGGGUGCGUAACACGUAGCUGACCUGCCCCUCAGCGGGGGACAACAGCCCGAAAGGGCUGCUAAUACCGCAUACGCUCACCGGGUUUAGAAACCGGCGAGGAAACUCACGGGGCUGAGGGAGGGGGCUGCGGCCCAUCAGGUAGUUGGUGCGGUAGCGGCGCACCAAGCCGACGACGGGUAGGGGGCCUGAGAGGGCAACCCCCCACACUGGGACUGACAGACGGCCCAGACUCCUACGGGAGGCAGCAGUAAGGGAUAUUGCGCAAUGGGCGAAAGCCUGACGCAGCAACGCCGCGUGGAGGAUGACGGCCUUCGGGUCGUAAACUCCUUUGGCUGGGGACGAGCAAGGACGGUACCCAGCAAACAAGUCACGGCUAACUACGUGCCAGCAGCCGCGGUAAAACGUAGGUGGCGAGCGUUAUCCGGAUUUACUGGGCGUAAAGGGUGUGCAGGCGGGGUCUCAAGUGGUGUGUGAAAUCGCCCGGCUCAACCGGGCGAGGUCAGGCCAGACUGAGGCUCUGGAGUGCGGGAGAGGGGCGUGGAAUUCCGGGUGUAGUGGUGAAAUGCGUAGAGAUCCGGAGGAACCCCAGAGGCGAAGGCGGCGCCCUGGCCCGACACUGACGCUCAGACACGACAGCAUGGGGAGCGAACGGGAUUAGAAACCCCGGUAGUCCAUGCCGUAAACGAUGCCGACUAGGCGCUGGGGGUCUCAACCCCCUCGGUGCCGCAGCUAACGCGCUAAGUCGGCCGCCUGGGGAGUACGGUCGCAAGGCUAAAACUCAAAUGAAUUGACGG
Molecule: ribosomal RNA, 886 nt
Filed under: uncultured bacterium
Lineage: Bacteria
Description: bacterial SSU rRNA
Rfam family: Bacterial small subunit ribosomal RNA
Source: RNAcentral